UACGUAGGGUGCAAGCGUUGUCCGGAAUUAUUGGGCGUAAAGAGCUCGUAGGCGGUUUGUCGCGUCGAAUGUGAAAACCCGGGGCUCAACCCCGGGCCUGCAUUCGAUACGGGCAGACUAGAGUUCGGUAGGGGAGUCUGGAAUUCCUGGUGUAGCGGUGAAAUGCGCAGAUAUCAGGAGGAACACCGGUGGCGAAGGCGGGUCUCUGGGCCGUAACUGACGCUGAGGAGCGAAAGCGUGGGGAGCGAACGGG
Molecule: ribosomal RNA, 253 nt
Filed under: uncultured bacterium
Lineage: Bacteria
Description: partial 16S ribosomal RNA
Rfam family: Bacterial small subunit ribosomal RNA
Source: RNAcentral